RNAcentral lists this ribosomal RNA (849 nucleotides) under uncultured Synergistes sp. RNAcentral describes it as "bacterial SSU rRNA". It matches the Rfam family "Bacterial small subunit ribosomal RNA", at positions 24 to 897 of the family's 1533-position model. The record is from RNAcentral. Lineage: Bacteria; Thermotogati; Synergistota; Synergistia; Synergistales; Synergistaceae.
UCAGGACGAACGCNGGCGGCGUGCUUAACACAUGCAAGUUGAACGGGCAGAUAUGGAAGCUUGCUGAAGUAUCUGUUAGUAGCGGACGGGUGAGUAAUGCAUGAGGAGCUGUCAUAGGGAGGGGGACAACAGUUGGAAACGGCUGCUAAUACCCCGUAUGCCGGAAGGUGAAAGGGAGCGAUCCGCCCGAUGAGGUACUCAUGUCCUAUCAGCUGGUUGGUGGGGUAACGGCCUACCAAGGCGACGACGGGUAGCCGGCCUGAGAGGGUGAACGGCCACACUGGAACUGAGAUACGGUCCAGACUCCUACGGGAGGCAGCAGUGGGGAAUAUUGGGCAAUGGGGGGAACCCUGACCCAGCGACGCCGCGUGAGGGAAGACGGCCUUCGGGUUGUAAACCUCUUUUGUACGGGAAGAAGGAAGUGACGGUACUGUACGAAUAAGUCCCGGCUAACUACGUGCCAGCAGCCGCGGUAAUACGUAGGGGACGAGCGUUGUCCGGAAUUACUGGGCGUAAAGGGCGCGUAGGCUGUGCUGCAAGUCAGCUGUGAAAUAUCUGGGCUUAACCUGGAUAUGCGGAUGAGACUGCAGUGCUGGAGUGCUGUAGAGGCAAGUGGAAUUCCCAGUGUAGCGGUGAAAUGCGUAGAUAUUGGGAAGAACACCGGUGGCGAAGGCGACUUGCUGGGCAGCAACUGACGCUGAGGCGCGAAAGCCAGGGGAGCGAACGGGAUUAGAUACCCCGGUAGUCCUGGCCGUAAACGAUGAAUGCUAGGUGUGGGUGUAGAGAUACAUUCGUGCCGGAGUUAACGCGAUAAGCAUUCCGCCUGGGGGAGUACGGUCGCAAGAUUGA